Molecule: ribosomal RNA, 561 nt
Filed under: Triticum aestivum (bread wheat)
Lineage: Eukaryota; Viridiplantae; Streptophyta; Magnoliopsida; Poales; Poaceae
Description: partial small subunit ribosomal RNA
Source: RNAcentral
AUGGCCAUUGUGGAUAUCGCCCAUGCCCUCCUUCCCUCGGUCCCCCGUCGACAGCGCAAGCGCUCCUUGGCAGAUGGGCUCCAGGACCGUUGCUGGAUCGCGGACCUACAUGGCGCGCUUACGCCCACUGUGCUGGUGGAGUACGUCCAGCUCUGGACAAGGCUCCGCCACCUUCACCUCUCCGCCUUCCCCGACCGUCUCAUUUGGCACUGGACCGCGGAUGGGAAGUACUCCGCCAGGUCAUGCUACCAGGCCCUCUUUGUUGGAUCCACGCCCUCUCCCUUCUAGCGCCUCACCUGGAAGUGUUGGGCCCCCCGCGUCAAGAUGUUUACCUGGGUGGCCGACCUCGAUUGCUGCUGGACUGCCGCUAGGCUGGCUCGCCACGGUCUCCCUCACAACGACAGAUGUGUUCUUUGCGACCAGGACGCCGAGACCAUGCAGCAUAUUAUCAUUGCCUGCCCCUUCUCCAGGCAGAUUCGGCAUGAUGUCAUGUCUUGGGUGCGCGCCACCGUCCUCCUUCAUCUGGUUCCGAGGAGUUCCUCCAAUGGUGCUCCUCGAUGA